This 557-nucleotide ribosomal RNA is filed under the name uncultured archaeon. RNAcentral's name for it is "bacterial SSU rRNA". It matches the Rfam family "Archaeal small subunit ribosomal RNA", at positions 1 to 549 of the family's 1478-position model. The record is from RNAcentral.
CUCGAGGCCAGAUCUUUCCGGUUGAUCCUGCCGGACCUGACUGCUAUCGGAUUGGUACUAAGCCAUGCGAGUCAUUGUAGCAAUACAAGGCAGACGGCUCAGUAACACGUAGUCAACCUACCCUAUGGACGGGGAUAAUCUCGGGAAACUGAGAAUAAUACCCGAUAGAUCAUUGUGCCUGGAAUGGCUAGUGGUUGAAAUGAUUUAUCGCCGUAGGAUGGGACUGCGGCCUAUCAGUUUGUUGGCGGGGUAAUGGCCCACCAAGACUAUUACAGGUACGGGCUCUGAGAGGAGAGGCCCGGAGAUGGGUACUGAGACACGGACCCAGGCCCUAUGGGGCGCAGCAGGCGAGAAACCUUUGCAAUGUGCGAAAGCACGACAAGGUUAAUCCGAGUGUUUUUUGCUAAAGAAAUCUUUUGUCAGUCCUAAAAACACUGAUGAAUAAGGGGUGGGCAAGUUCUGGUGUCAGCCGCCGCGGUAAAACCAGCACCUCAAGUGGUCAGGAGGUUUAUUGGGCCUAAAGCAUCCGUAGCCAGCUAUGCAAGUUUUCGGUUAAA